This 72-nucleotide transfer RNA is filed under the name Bos taurus (domestic cattle). It matches the Rfam family "tRNA". Rfam says of the family: Transfer RNA (tRNA) molecules are approximately 80 nucleotides in length. Their secondary structure includes four short double-helical elements and three loops (D, anti-codon, and T loops). Further hydrogen bonds mediate the characteristic L-shaped molecular structure. tRNAs have two regions of fundamental functional importance: the anti-codon, which is responsible for specific mRNA codon recognition, and the 3' end, to which the tRNAs corresponding amino acid is attached (by aminoacyl-tRNA synthetases). tRNAs cope with the degeneracy of the genetic code in two manners: having more than one tRNA (with a specific anti-codon) for a particular amino acid; and 'wobble' base-pairing, i.e. permitting non-standard base-pairing at the 3rd anti-codon position. RNAcentral also lists the same sequence under 5 other names. Lineage: Eukaryota; Metazoa; Chordata; Mammalia; Artiodactyla; Bovidae. The record is from Rfam by way of RNAcentral.
UCCCUGGUGGCUCAGCUGGUAGAGAAUCUGCCUGCAAUGCAGGAGACCCCGGUUCAAUUCCUGGGUUGGGAC